UCCGGGCCGGGGCGGCAACGCGCUCCGGGCCGGGGCAGCUGCCACCGGCGCCGGGACCGCCGGCUCCCGAGCCUUCGCCCCACACCGCGCGUCCGUAGCGAGGUGCUGGGCCCCAGCCCGUCAGUGUUCGCGAAGGAGGCAAAGGAUGGGCACGCCGACGUGGAGCAGAAGGGAAGGGACGGUCCCAGGCACAGCGAGGGGCCGCACCUUCGCUCCGCGGAAGUUUCUUCCAGUCUCAGUGUUCAACUCCGGCGAGGCUGGAGCGCGGCGCGGGGCUGGACAGGGCGGGAGCCGGGCGGGCUCCGCCGCCUGCUCCCGAGGCGCCUCUCCGCAGCGGAGGCGGCGAGGAAGCGGCACAAGUGCGCGGCGCCCUCGCUGCCUCUCUCCUUCUGAUGCCCCUUCGCGACUGCACGCCAGCCCGGCGGCCGCGGCUCCGGGAGGAUGCGACUCUUCCUCCUUACUGCAACUUUUUGGGGAUUGUGCCUGACUCCAGGGUUGGGUUUGCAAAUACAGUGCUACCAGUGUGAGGAGUUCCAGCUGAAUAAUGACUGCUCUGCACCGGAGUUCAUUGUGAAUUGUACAGUGAAUGUUCAAGAUAUGUGUCAGAAAGAAGUAAUGGAAAAAAGUUUUGGCAUCAUGUAUCGUAAAUCCUGCGCGUCUUCGGCAGCCUGCCUGAUAGCUUCUGCUGGGUACCAGUCCUUUUGUUCUCCAGGGAAGGUGAACUCUGUUUGCAUCAGCUGCUGCAACACUCCCCUCUGCAAUGGACCCCGGCCCAAGAAGAGAGGGAAUUCUGCCAUGGUGCCGAGGGCACACAUAAUGACCACCCUUCUGCUUCUUAAACUGGCUCUGUUGGUUUCGUAUUGCUAAACUUCAAGCAAUUUUUUUUUUGCCCUGGCACAAUUUGUUCUGUCUCCUCCUUUCUUCACAGACACUGCAAUUAUUUUCUGUUUGUUCCCAAAUCACUGUCAACAGCGAGGGAAGUUCAGAGGUUGUGGGGAGAGAUGGGCUAAUGUUUUUGGCAGCUAAAGAAUUUCAGUUAGCAGAUUGAAUUUCUAGUGUGCACUCAAAAAUCCCAGCAGCAGGAUGCAGGACUCCUGCUCUCUUUGCAUAACUGGAAACAAAUCAGUCUGUGUUAUUCCUCUUAGACAUAGUCAGCUCCUCAGUCAGUUGCAUUUCCAUGUUUUGAAGUCCAUUGCUAAUUGUUACCUCUGCCUUAUGAAGUCAUACUCGAAGUUCACAAAGGCCAUCUUGUGUGUCUGGACUGGGCUCUGAGCUACUCUCUAGUGGCACUACUUCCAAGCUGGGUGCUGGUGGUUCGAGAUCCGGUUUCUGUGAGCUGAAGUCAGGCUUGUUCUCAUUCUGGAAAGUACUUAAGAACACUUUGGUAUUGCCUCUCGUAGAAGACUUACGCCUAACCGAAAAGGAGAGCAGUGGGCGUAGAGACCUUGCUGUGGAGCGCAGGUUGGCUCUGAGAAACUUCUCCUUGUUGGCAUGCUCUAUUGUCAGGCGGCAGCGGAGGACCUGCAGGAACACGCUGCGGAACUGCUGAGAAGAGAUGUUGUACAGGAGGGGGUUCACCACUGAGCUGAGGUAGAAGAAGAUGUCAGCGAUGGGAAGAAGAGUGAUAUAUGCUCUGAAGUAGGGGACAGUCCAAUCCUGCUUUGGUUUAGCAGCAGCCAUGAUCCUUCUAACCUGGUUUGGCAUCCAGCAUAUUGCCAGAGUUGCAACAAUCAGUCCUGUGAACACAAAGAAGAAAAAAGAGGUGUGCAUACACGGAGCGGGGGGAAAUAUAACACACUUAGUGUCCAUUCUGCACUUGUUAGAAAUAGUACCAGCUUUUCAAUGUUCUCCUUGACAGAUUUUUCUGUGGGUACUGUUCUUUGUUGUUUUUAAUAACUGUUACAAGGUCAUUGCAGCACAAAAGACUGCAGAGUGCUUGGAUGGUGUUUCUUUGUACCUGUUGUCAUUUAUUAGUUUUCAAAGUGUCCUCUCACUGCUCUCUGUAUCUUUAGAAUGCGUUUUUAUUUCAGUUGGUGUUCUUACAACCAGUGCAGGGCUACAAAGAUAAUGAUGGGACUGGACCUCUAUAUGAGGAAAGGCUGAGAAACCAGGGGCUGUUUAGCCUGGAGGAGAGAAGACCAAGAGGGGAUCUUAUCAAUGCUUAAUCAGUAUGUAAAGGGUGAGGAGCAAAAUGAUAGGGCCAGACUGUUUUCAGGGCUGCCCAGUGAUAGGCAAUAGGCUGUGGGCACAGACUCGGGAGGUUCCAUCUGAACAUGAGGAGAAAUUCCUCCAGUGUGCCACAGCAGUGGAACAGGCUUCCCAGAGAGGUUGUGGAGUCUCCUCUGGAGAGCUUCCAAACCCACCUGGACAUAGUGAUCCUGGGCAACCUGCUCUGGGUGACCCCACUUGAGCAGGGCAGUUGGACUUGAUUGUCUCCAGAGGUCCCUUCCAACCCCUCCUGUUCUGUGAUUUAUGUAUUUCCCUUUACUUUGAAAAACAAACAAAAUAAAUAGAACCUAUAGCCAUAUUAGAUCAGGCAAUACCCAGAAGAGAUCAGAUUCUUGUUUGUACUUUAAAAAAAAAAUGUAUGCAUAAUAAUAUAUUUCAUGUUAUUUUUGGUAAAUUUCCUCUUACAGAAGAUAUUUUUAAGUAAAAUAUGUAUGGAUCUUUUUAUGGUAAUUAAGAUAUGUUGAGCUUUCUUAAAAGUCAAAUUCCAGUGGAAUUAAACUAUGAAUGUAAAUGAGCAAAACCCAAGCCUAAUCAUGAAAGUGUAAGCAGUUUCAGAUUAUGAAUUAUGCUUUAAAAUGUGGUAUCUGACCAUUUUGUAUUUAUAUGUAAAUAUAAAUACAUGUUGCUGCAUCACUAAUGGCAUUAAAAAUGGGGUGACUUAAGUGUUGGAGGUCUGAGCAUUCUGACUCCGUGGACCAGUGCUCACUAGCAUUCCAGUGCUGAUGCCAUCUUCAGAAGGGUAACCCUGCAGAAACGUGUGAGCGAGCUCUAGCAGGCUCUGCUCCAGUCCUGGUUGGCAUCCAGUGCUUCUGGUGCACAUAAGCACUGGAAGUCCUGACAUCGUGCAUGAAAUACCAGGAAACGUGCCUUAUAUGAACACAGAGGGAGCAGAAGUUGCAGGUUGGCUUCCCUGCUGCAGAGGCACAGAACAGUGGAAAGCAUCCCAGUGAUGUCCAGGUUUCACUUUCAGUAGAUUUCUGUUUCAUUGUUAAUCUCCUUCAAGGUCCCUCCUCCUUUCUCCACAGAAGCACAGAGGCAGAGUAAGUUUUACCUGUCUAGGCGAAGUCAGGUAUCAGCACGGAACAGAUUGCUGCAGCUCUCUAGUACUGCAUUUCCAAGCCAGGAAAAUGCCACUUCAGUAGUGGGAAGAAACAAAUGCAACAGGGAAAGGGGGGCAGAAAAAAGAAGAAAGAUUGAUCACAGCUUUGAAACUUCCAGGGCUUGAACAAAGUACGUCCAAAGUUCUCUCUACCAGACCCCAGCAAAGAAAAGGUAUGAAAUGUCUGGUGUAGUUGUUUGUUUUUAAAAGAAAUUAAUUUUUAAAUGAAAACUUAAAUUAACAAAUGAAUGAGCUACCAAAUAAAAGUUGUCUUUGAUAA
This is an RNA transcript of Pogoniulus pusillus (Red-fronted tinkerbird), 3608 nucleotides long. It is a transcript of the gene named LY6/PLAUR domain containing 1, with no coding region annotated. NCBI's taxonomy places the organism in Eukaryota, Metazoa, Chordata, Aves, Piciformes, Lybiidae. The record is from RefSeq and is a predicted model, not a curated record. The transcript has 6 exons.